UGAUGUUUGAUCUGAGAGCUGGUAAAUGAACAGGAGUUAAUUUAAGGACAAACUUGCCAAAUACUGCAAGAAAAGAUGUUGCUGAUCACGGAUAGGAAAUACUCCAAGUCCCAGGAGAUAGUCUGUUCUUAGGAGACUUCCACACCAAGUCUGCUGAC
Long non-coding RNA from Homo sapiens (human), 158 nucleotides. Ensembl annotates it as PDE7B antisense RNA 1. Its record names the gene PDE7B-AS1. The record is from Ensembl. NCBI's taxonomy places the organism in Eukaryota, Metazoa, Chordata, Mammalia, Primates, Hominidae.